RNAcentral lists this transfer RNA (66 nucleotides) under Pedipes pedipes. RNAcentral's name for it is "tRNA-Asn". It matches the Rfam family "tRNA". Rfam says of the family: Transfer RNA (tRNA) molecules are approximately 80 nucleotides in length. The record is from RNAcentral. Lineage: Eukaryota; Metazoa; Mollusca; Gastropoda; Ellobiida; Ellobiidae.
GCUACAGUAGCUUAAAGAAAAGCACUCGACUGUUAAUUGAGAAGAUGUACACCACUACCUGGCGCA